GAUGAACGCUGGCGGCGUGCCUAAUACAUGCAAGUCGAGCGAACGGACGAGAAGCUUGCUUCUCUGAUGUUAGCGGCGGACGGGUGAGUAACACGUGGAUAACCUACCUAUAAGACUGGGAUAACUUCGGGAAACCGGAGCUAAUACCGGAUGAUAUUUUGAACCGCAUGGUUCAAAAGUGAAAGACGGUCUUGCUGUCACUUAUAGAUGGAUCCGCGCUGCAUUAGCUAGUUGGUAAGGUAACGGCUUACCAAGGCAACGAUGCAUAGCCGACCUGAGAGGAGGAUCGCCCACACUGGAACGGACACCGGGCCAAGCCCCCUCCGGGAGGGAGCAGUGGGGAUUCUUCGGCAUGGGGCGAAGGCCUGACGGAGCACCCCGGAGGGAGGGAUAAGGGUGUUGGGUUCGAAAAACUUUUUUAUGGGGAAAAAACAGAUGUGUAAGUAACGGUGCACUUCUGGAGGGUACCAAAUAAAAAACCCCCGGCAACCUACGCG
This 497-nucleotide ribosomal RNA is filed under the name uncultured bacterium. RNAcentral describes it as "partial 16S ribosomal RNA". It matches the Rfam family "Bacterial small subunit ribosomal RNA", at positions 28 to 507 of the family's 1533-position model. The record is from RNAcentral.